RNA transcript from Zingiber officinale, 1506 nucleotides. It is a transcript of the gene named probable plastid-lipid-associated protein 12, chloroplastic, with no coding region annotated. Lineage: Eukaryota; Viridiplantae; Streptophyta; Magnoliopsida; Zingiberales; Zingiberaceae. The transcript has 12 exons. The record is from RefSeq and is a predicted model, not a curated record.
ACCGCACAAAUACCACACUCACACCAAUCUCGUCGAGCGGCAGGCCCUGGACAUGGCCGUCGGAGGAUACCCUGCCGCGCGGCUCGCCUUCGGCUUCGUUCAGCCAUCUUCGAUCGGUCGCCCUUCCGCAUCGCCUCCUUCCAUUUUCCGCUUUCCCUGCCGAAAAUCGCGGCUGACGAAGAGACGGAGGCCGACAUUCCUUCGUCCUAUCUUGUCCUCUUUGGUGGAGAAAGGGGAGCAGAAACUCUCCUUCACCGAUCGAGAGUCCGUCCUUGUCGAGGCGCUUCUCGGGAUCCAAGGGCGGGGCCGCGCCGCUUCGCCUAUGCAACUUCAGGAUGUUGAGUUUGCCGUGGAAACCCUAGAGAGUAUUGGAGGCUUGCCGGAUCCUACAAGUUCUAGUAUGAUCGAAGGUUGCUGGCAGCUAAUUUUCACUACAAGACCUGGAACAGCAUCACCAAUUCAAAGAACCUUUGUUGGGGUUGACUUUUUCAAGAUUUAUCAAGAGGUCUACCUUAGAACAGAUGAUCCAAGGGUAUCUAACAUUGUCAGAUUCUCAGAUGCAAUUGGUGAACUGAAAGUAGAGGCAGCAGCAACGAUUAAAGAUGGGAAAAGGAUCCUUUUCCAGUUUGACCGUGCUGCAUUCUCGUUUAAAUUUCUACCUAUUAAGGUUCCAUACCCUGUGCCAUUCAGACUUCUUGGUGAUGAAGCAAAGGGUUGGUUGGAUACGACAUACCUAUCACACAAUGGCAACUUACGAAUUUCUAGAGGCAAUAAGGGAACAACAUUUGUGCUCCAAAAAACUAUUGAACCAAGACAAAGAUUGCUAUCGGCUAUAUCUGUUGGAGCAGGAGUAGAGGAGGCGGUUGAGGAAGUCAUUUCAAGUCAGAAAUUGGUCAAAAUAAAACCAGAAACCCUUGGAGGGGAAUGGCAAUUGCUGUGGACUUCACAGUUGGAAAAUGAAAGCUGGUCGUCUGUUGCUGCUAAUGGUCUUAAAGGUUUGCAGAUUAUAAAUGAUGGAAGACUAGAGAAUUUCGUUGACCUGCUUCCUGGCUUAAAGAUGUGUGCCAAUGGCAGUCUCAAGGGAUGGUAGAUGUUCUUGUCUACAGUCGGUAAAGAUGGAUAGUUGAUGAGAUGGUGCGUCUCUUGACCGCAAGAAGACCUCAGGAGUAAGUUCGAAGCCGUGAGCGGGCCUGCCACGUUAAAGAGAAUAAGGGAAGAGGAAAACACUAGUAGACAGGUCAGGUAAUACAAGAACAGUGAUGAAACACAAUGGGGAGCGAUGGGAGAGCUUAUCUUCGUGGGAAGAAGGAACUCCAAAUAUGAUAUUGUUUUCCUUAGCACGAAUAACGAGUAAAACACCAGAUGGAGGCGUGUACAUAGCGCGAAUGGAUGAUGGAGUCAUUAGACUCGGUGCAUUGGGAUUUUCUUUGAAAAUAGAAGCGGACAUCGAGAUGGAAUUGCUGUACAUUGACAACAAGAUCAGAAUAACUCGGUGCAACGGAUCCA